ACACAUGACCAGUUUACCCAUAUAAAUUACGGGGCUCUCAUACAGUAAUAGUGGGACAAAUUGCCAAGACCACAACUUCUUCAUCAUGUCAUCUCUUCUCUGGCUCACCUUCGCCUUCAUGGUGCUCUCGGCAGUGCACUGUUACCCCUCAGAGCAGGGUUCUUCUGAAAUUUUUUCUGUACAGGAGAAGGACCCAAUCUAUGACAACAGUCUGGAUGAAGACGAAAGUGAUAUUUCAACUUUAAUUGAGAAAGCAAACAAGAUUGGG
Anguilla rostrata (American eel) is the source of this 268-nucleotide long non-coding RNA. RefSeq lists it as uncharacterized. NCBI's taxonomy places the organism in Eukaryota, Metazoa, Chordata, Actinopteri, Anguilliformes, Anguillidae. The transcript is spliced from 3 exons. The record is from RefSeq and is a predicted model, not a curated record.